UGAAGGUGGCGGACGGGUGAGUAACGCGUAAAGAACUUGCCUUACAGACUGGGACAACAUUUGGAAACGAAUGCUAAUACCGGAUAUUAUGACUGAGUCGCAUGAUUUGGUUAUGAAAGCUAUAUGCGCUGUGAGAGAGCUUUGCGUCCCAUUAGUUAGUUGGUGAGGUAACGGCUCACCAAGACGAUGAUGGGUAGCCGGCCUGAGAGGGUGAACGGCCACAAGGGGACUGAGACACGGCCCUUACUCCUACGGGAGGCAGCAGUGGGGAAUAUUGGACAAUGGACCAAAAGUCUGAUCCAGCAAUUCUGUGUGCACGAUGAAGUUUUUCGGAAUGUAAAGUGCUUUCAGUUGGGAAGAAGUCAGUGACGGUACCAACAGAAGAAGCGACGGCUAAAUACGUGCCAGCAGCCGCGGUAAUACGUAUGUCGCAAGCGUUAUCCGGAUUUAUUGGGCGUAAAGCGCGUCUAGGCGGUUUAGUAAGUCUGAUGUGAAAAUGCGGGGCUCAACCCCGUAUUGCGUUGGAAACUGCUAAACUAGAGUACUGGAGAGGUAGGCGGAACUACAAGUGUAGAGGUGAAAUUCGUAGAUAUUUGUAGGAAUGCCGAUGGGGAAGCCAGCCUACUGGACAGAUACUGACGCUAAAGCGCGAAAGCGUGGGUAGCAAACAGGAUUAGAUACCCUGGUAGUCCACGCCGUAAACGAUGAUUACUAGGUGGUUGGGGUCGAACCUCAGCGCCCAAGCUACUGCGAUAAGUAAUCCGCCUGGGAGU
RNAcentral lists this ribosomal RNA (773 nucleotides) under uncultured Fusobacteriota bacterium. RNAcentral describes it as "bacterial SSU rRNA". It matches the Rfam family "Bacterial small subunit ribosomal RNA", at positions 90 to 881 of the family's 1533-position model. The record is from RNAcentral. Lineage: Bacteria; Fusobacteriati; Fusobacteriota.